UGGGGAAUCUUGCGCAAUGGGCGAAAGCCUGACGCAGCGACGCCGCGUGAGUGAUGAAGGCCUUCGGGUUGUAAAGCUCUGUGGGGAGGGACGAAUAAGUAGAAGCUAACACCUUCUAUGAUGACGGUACCUCCUUAGCAAGCACCGGCUAACUCUGUGCCAGCAGCCGCGGUAAGACAGAGGGUGCAAACGUUGUUCGGAAUUACUGGGCGUAAAGCGUGUGUAGGCGGCUAAGUAAGUCAGAUGUGAAAGCCCCGGGCUCAACCCGGGAAGUGCAUUUGAUACUGCCUAGCUUGAGUAUCGGAGAGGUUGGUGGAAUUCUUGGUGUAGAGGUGAAAUUCGUAGAUAUCAAGAGGAACACCGGUGGCGAAGGCGGCCAACUGGACGAAUACUGACGCUGAGACACGAAAGCGUGGGGAGCAAACA
RNAcentral lists this ribosomal RNA (426 nucleotides) under uncultured bacterium. Its description in RNAcentral is "bacterial SSU rRNA". It matches the Rfam family "Bacterial small subunit ribosomal RNA", at positions 355 to 774 of the family's 1533-position model. The record is from RNAcentral.